CCCAUGACAAGAUUUGCAUUUCCGCUUGACAACAUUUGAAUUUGCCCUUGGUAACUUGUGCGUUUCAACGAUCAAACUGCGCGGUAAAACUUCCUGUCUCCAAGCUCGAAAGCAAAUCAGCGACUUAGCUAAUCGGUGUCCGGCAAAGCGCAGAAGUAUUCGAGGGUUGGUCCGUAUCGUUUCCAAACGAAGAAAACACAACAUCAAGUCUACAAUAUACUAUACGGUAUUAUAUAAUACCUUAUUAAAUUCUAAUCGUUUAAUUGGCUGUUUAUGGUCACGUGAUAUUGAAUAGAAAAUUCCAUUUCCCAAGAGUGCAAUGGAACACGUUCCAUUGCACUCUCCGCGAGUGCAAUGGAAUAAAACGUAUAGUACAAUUGCACUCUUUGUGAUUUCGAUAAAUCGCAUCCCUCAAAAUGCUUCUCAUACGAAUCUAUUAGUCUGUUCUGGACUUUUGGUAUUAUAUAAAACAAAUAAUGAAUGUUUCUUCGUGCAAUGGUAAGAAUAUUUUCACUCGGUGAAAGAUGGAAUGUUCCAUUCAACUCGGC
Molecule: non-coding RNA, 548 nt
Organism: Paramuricea clavata
Lineage: Eukaryota; Metazoa; Cnidaria; Anthozoa; Malacalcyonacea; Plexauridae
Source: the annotation of a GenBank genome assembly